This is a long non-coding RNA of Onychostruthus taczanowskii (white-rumped snowfinch), 1007 nucleotides long. RefSeq lists it as uncharacterized. The transcript has 2 exons. The record is from RefSeq and is a predicted model, not a curated record. Lineage: Eukaryota; Metazoa; Chordata; Aves; Passeriformes; Passeridae.
UUCAGUGGCUGUGCAGCACACUGCUGGAAAAGUACCCAAGCUUGCUUUAAACUAGCAGUACCUUGCUCAGAGUGGGCAAACUUAUUCUGCUUUUUUUUCUUUUUUUAGUUCUCAUCGACCUCUAAACUGCUGUAAUCUAGCUCUAUAAAGCUUGUUUCUGCUGUAUACACUACAGACAUGCUCCCAGCUCAAUACUGUGCUCAGACUUUACUUGCUGUAAACUGGGAAUAAUUUCACCCAGGAUGAGUUUGCCCGUGUUGCAUUGGAAAAGCAGUCUUUCACUUGCCAGCCUGCACUCAGCCAUGGUGAAGCUAUUCUGGUUACACAAUUACUGUAGCUCAUCCCAGAAACUGCUGCACAUCAGAAUUGGAUCUCUUACUGGCCCAGUAAAUUCUUAGCAGAUCUGACCUGUUCUCUGUAAGGAAACCACCCCUGUGGCUUGUGGAGCUGCUUCUUCCACUUCCCAUGUGAAGGACAGCGUUACAAUCACUCUGUCGUCUCCUCUUCAAAGAUGAAGAUGAAAGAGCCCGUUCCCAGCAGCUGGAAGAGGUGCUCUGGUUAAAACCUCAGCCUGUGAACUCGGGAGGGAUGGGAAUCCCCUGCAGCCUUCCCCCAAAAAACACCAAGGACUCCCCAAAUGUCCUUGCAAGUCCUCAGUGCCCCAGGCUGAGCAACAGACUCUGCAAUGCUACACUGAAUUAAUAGAAUUCAUACUUUGUAAUUCAAGACUAUUUUUCAUUGUUUUUGUCUUUGGGAUUACAGAACCACUAAGGGAUUAGAUUAGUGAUAACAAAGUUAGCAGAAAAAACAUACCAGUAACCUUUCAUUUAGAACAGCUGUGAUCAUGCUUUUUGGAUCCUGAACAUGUCCUGUGCGAGGAUUUAAGACCUCUUACCAUUGCUCAUUACCUGGGAAAGAAGAUGUGCUGUGUCAUAAUCAUCACAAUCCUCUUGCUUGGCUAAAAUCACCUAUUAAAACCAUUCCUGAGGCUGGAAUUAGAACCUGCA